AUUGAACGCUGGCGGCAUGCCUUACACAUGCAAGUCGAACGGCAGCACGGGUGCUUGCACCUGGUGGCGAGUGGCGAACGGGUGAGUAAUACAUCGGAACAUGUCCUGUAGUGGGGGAUAGCCCGGCGAAAGCCGGAUUAAUACCGCAUACGAUCUACGGAUGAAAGCGGGGGACCUUCGGGCCUCGCGCUUUAGGGUUGGCCGAUGGCUGAUUAGCUAGUUGGUGGGGUAAAGGCCUACCAAGGCGACGAUCAGUAGCUGGUCUGAGAGGACGACCAGCCACACUGGGACUGAGACACGGCCCAGACUCCUACGGGAGGCAGCAGUGGGGAAUUUUGGACAAAGGGCGAAAGCCUGAUCCAGCAAUGCCGCGUGUGUGAAGAAGGCCUUCGGGUUGUAAAGCACUUUUGUCCGGAAAGAAAUCCUUGGCUCUAAUACAGUCGGGGGAUGACGGUACCGGAAGAAUAAGCACCGGCUAACUACGUG
RNAcentral lists this ribosomal RNA (486 nucleotides) under uncultured bacterium. RNAcentral's name for it is "partial 16S ribosomal RNA". It matches the Rfam family "Bacterial small subunit ribosomal RNA", at positions 30 to 507 of the family's 1533-position model. The record is from RNAcentral.